Molecule: ribosomal RNA, 520 nt
Filed under: uncultured bacterium
Lineage: Bacteria
Description: bacterial SSU rRNA
Rfam family: Bacterial small subunit ribosomal RNA
Source: RNAcentral
GCUUGCACUUGUUGAGACCGGCGAACGGGUGCGUAACACGUAUGCAACCUACCUUCAACUGGGGAAUAGCCCGAAGAAAUUCGGAUUAAUACCCCAUAAUUUUACUUUAAGGCAUCUUUUAGUAAUUAAAGCUCCGGCGGUUGAAGAUGGGCAUGCGGUCCAUUAGUUAGUUGGUGAGGUAACGGCUCACCAAGACCACGAUGGAUAGGGGGUCUGAGAGGAUGAUCCCCCACACUGGUACUGAGACACGGACCAGACUCCUACGGGAGGCAGCAGUAGGGAAUAUUGGACAAUGGGCGAAAGCCUGAUCCAGCCAUGCCGCGUGCAGGAUGACGGCCCUAUGGGUUGUAAACUGCUUUUAUAUGGGAAGAAACACCCCGACGUGUCGGGGCUUGACGGUACCAUACGAAUAAGGAUCGGCUAACUCCGUGCCAGCAGCCGCGGUAAUACGGAGGAUCCAAGCGUUGUCCGGAUUUAUUGGGUUUAAAGGGUGCGUAGGCGGAUUGAUAAGUCAGUGGUG